Molecule: ribosomal RNA, 306 nt
Filed under: Draconarius carinatus
Lineage: Eukaryota; Metazoa; Arthropoda; Arachnida; Araneae; Agelenidae
Description: partial 12S ribosomal RNA
Source: RNAcentral
AAACUUAUUUAGUUUGGCGGCAUUAAAUCUAUUUAGAGGAAUUUGUUUAUUAAUCGAUAAUCCACGCUAAACUUCACUUUAAUUCAAAAUUUAUAUACCGCCAUCUUAAGAAUCAAUUAAAAAAUAUUUCUAAAAAAAAAAAUAAAAAAUUAGGUCAAGGUAUAAUCCAUAUCAAAGAAUAUAAUGAAUUACAUUAAAUAAAAUUUUAAGAUUAUAAAUAAAUAUAUUUUUACAAAUAAGAAUUUAAAAGUAAUAUUAUAAUAAUAAUAUAAUAUGAUAAAGAUAAUAAAUGUGCACACAUCGCCC